Molecule: ribosomal RNA, 304 nt
Filed under: Ehrlichia canis
Lineage: Bacteria; Pseudomonadati; Pseudomonadota; Alphaproteobacteria; Rickettsiales; Anaplasmataceae
Description: bacterial SSU rRNA
Rfam family: Bacterial small subunit ribosomal RNA
Source: RNAcentral
ACCUAGUAGUACGGAAUAGCCAUUAGAAAUGGAGGGUAAUACUGUAUAAUCCCCGAGGGGGAAAGAUUUAUCGCUAUUAGAUGAGCCUACGUUAGAUUAGCUAGUUGGUGAGGUAAUGGCUUACCAAGGCUAUGAUCUAUAGCUGGUCUGAGAGGACGAUCAGCCACACUGGAACUGAGAUACGGACCAGACUCCUACGGGAGGCAGCAGUGGGGAAUAUUGGACAAUGGGCGAAAGCCUGAUCCAGCUAUGCCGCGUGAGCGAAGAAGGCCUUCGGGUUGUAAAACUCUUUCAAUAGGGAAGA